Molecule: ribosomal RNA, 427 nt
Filed under: uncultured bacterium
Lineage: Bacteria
Description: partial 16S ribosomal RNA
Rfam family: Bacterial small subunit ribosomal RNA
Source: RNAcentral
UGGGGAAUAUUGGACAAUGGGCGAAAGCCUGAUCCAGCCAUGCCGCGUGUGUGAAGAAGGUCUUCGGAUUGUAAAGCACUUUAAGUUGGGAGGAAGGGCAUUAACCUAAUACGUUAGUGUUUUGACGUUACCGACAGAAUAAGCACCGGCUAACUCUGUGCCAGCAGCCGCGGUAAUACAGAGGGUGCAAGCGUUAAUCGGAAUUACUGGGCGUAAAGCGCGCGUAGGUGGUUUGUUAAGUUGGAUGUGAAAUCCCCGGGCUCAACCUGGGAACUGCAGUCAAAACUGACUGACUAGAGUAUGGUAGAGGGUGGUGGAAUUUCCUGUGUAGCGGUGAAAUGCGUAGAUAUAGGAAGGAACACCAGUGGCGAAGGCGACCACCUGGACUAAUACUGACACUGAGGUGCGAAAGCGUGGGGAGCAAACA